This 253-nucleotide ribosomal RNA is filed under the name uncultured bacterium. RNAcentral describes it as "partial 16S ribosomal RNA". It matches the Rfam family "Bacterial small subunit ribosomal RNA", at positions 524 to 776 of the family's 1533-position model. The record is from RNAcentral.
UACGGAGGGGGCUAGCGUUAUUCGGAAUUAUUGGGCGUAAAGGGCGUGUAGGCGGCUCUGUGUGUCCCAUGUGAAAGCCCUCGGCUCAACCGGGGAGCUGCAUGGGAAACUGCGGAGCUUGAGUCCGGGAGAGGUGAGUGGAAUUCCCAGUGUAGCGGUGAAAUGCGUAGAUAUUGGGAGGAACACCAGUGGCGAAGGCGGCUCACUGGACCGGUACUGACGCUGAGACGCGAAAGCCAGGGGAGCAAACGGG